Molecule: ribosomal RNA, 484 nt
Filed under: uncultured bacterium
Lineage: Bacteria
Description: partial 16S ribosomal RNA
Rfam family: Bacterial small subunit ribosomal RNA
Source: RNAcentral
AUUGAACGCUGGCGGCAGGCCUAACACAUGCAAGUCGAGCGGAUGAAGGGAGCUUGCUCCUGGAUUCAGCGGCGGACGGGUGAGUAAUGCCUAGGAAUCUGCCUGGUCGUGGGGGAUAACGUCCGUAAACGGGCGCUAAUACCGCAUACGUCCUGAGGGAGAAAGCGGGGGAUCUUCGGACCUCACGCUAUCAGAUGAGCCUAGGUCGGAUUAGCUAGUUGGUGGGGUAAAGGCCUACCAAGGCGACGAUCCGUAACUGGUCUGAGAGGAUGAUCAGUCACACUGGAACUGAGACACGGUCCAGACUCCUACGGGAGGCAGCAGUGGGGAAUAUUGGACAAUGGGCGAAAGCCUGAUCCAGCCAUGCCGCGUGUGUGAAGAAGGUCUUCGGAUUGUAAAGCACUUUAAGUUGGGAGGAAGGGCAGUAAGUUAAUACCUUGCUGUUUUGACGUUACCAACAGAAUAAGCACCGGCUAACUUCGUG